GAUGAACGCCGGCGGCGUGCCUAAUACAUGCAAGUCGAGCGAACGGACGAGAAGCUUGCUUUUCUGAUGUUAGCGGCGGACGGGUGAGUAACACGUGGAUAACCUACCUAUAAGACUGGGAUAACUUCGGGAAACCGGAGCUAAUACCGGAUAAUAUUUUGAACCGCAUGGUUCAAAAGUGAAAGACGGUCUUGCUGUCACUUAUAGAUGGAUCCGCGCUGCAUUAGCUAGUUGGUAAGGUAACGGCUUACCAAGGCAACGAUGCAUAGCCGACCUGAGAGGGUGAUCGGCCACACUGGAACUGAGACACGGUCCAGACUCCUACGGGAGGCAGCAGUAGGGAAUCUUCCGCAAUGGGCGAAAGCCUGACGGAGCAACGCCGCGUGAGUGAUGAAGGUCUUCGGAUCGUAAAACUCUGUUAUUAGGGAAGAACAUAUGUGUAAGUAACUGUGCACAUCUUGACGGUACCUAAUCAGAAAGCCACGGCUAACUACGUG
RNAcentral lists this ribosomal RNA (497 nucleotides) under uncultured bacterium. RNAcentral's name for it is "partial 16S ribosomal RNA". It matches the Rfam family "Bacterial small subunit ribosomal RNA", at positions 28 to 507 of the family's 1533-position model. The record is from RNAcentral.